CUCAGGGCUGGACACGUGUGGCGAAUUGGAGAAUGAUUUCUCCAGUUCCUGCACUCAGACAUGAAGUACUUCUUUGUGCCUUUUGCAGAAGAGGCCCCAGAAGAAGGGGUGGGGCAGAGGCAAAGGGGGACGAUGAAGACAGGACAAGCCUCGAGCUGAGAUCUUCAUCGUUCAGAUGGAGACGCCUCCAGAGGGUUCUGGUUGCCCUCGGUGGGUGCUCUCAUCUCCUCCCUGGCCUCCGCGGCCUCCCCCUGCUCCUUUCAGGAUGCUGCCUCCCCUCUCCCUCGGAAGGUAGGGACCAGGCCCUUGGGUGAGGGGCACCGGGGAGCUUGAGUGAUGGAGCGGCUGGGAGGGGCUGCCAUCCCAUGUCAAGCUUGCAGUGGAAUCGGGUUCAUUUUUAAAGUCAAAACCCCUCGUGGGGCUCCCUCACCCGCCCCCAGAGCCCCUCUAUUAUCCUUAGGCCAUUUGGUAGUUGUUGCUAUGGAGACCACAAGCAAAAUGGCAUGCAAAUCAACACAAGCAAUAACAGCGGAAAGGGCAGGGGGAGGCUGGGAGGGCGGGUGGGGGGGGUGUGGGGGAGGGCGCGGAAAUGCUUCCACCUGCAGUGCUCAUUAGGGUCUCAAGUGCAAAAAAGGCUCGGAAGGUCUGGGCAGGGGUCAAGGAGGUUCCAAUCCAAACUCUAGAGAGAGAGGGAAGACACUGAGAAUACAAAGCCUCUGUGGCAGGUGGCAGAUGGGGGCCGGUUACCCCCCACCCAGCACUGACAGGGGCGCACGAGGUGGCUUUGGGGGAAGCCCCCCGCCCCCCCACCCCGCGCAGAGUUUAGGCUUGGCUAGGGGAGAGGCUAGUGGGACUUGUCCCAAGGAACACUCCAGCAGACAAUGAGAACGUGGGUGGUGUGGAGCUGCUGGCUGGGGGCAGGUGCCCAAGGAGACAGCACAGAGCAGGUGCAAAGGGCUGGGUCCCUGGGGGCAGAGGAGCCAGGGCUCUGCCAGCUAGGGCCCAUGGAGCAGGGCAGGUGACACGGACUUGCAGGUGAGCGAGGAGAGGGACUGUGAUGGAUCGCUAGCUUGCAGCCACUUCGAGCAGCCGUAGGAACCCAGGUCCCCGGGGCUCGGCCAGGCCCCUCCAUUCCCUCCCCUUGGGAACAGUCUGCCUCUUCUGCAUGUGUCCGGCUGGGCAAAGGGGCAGCCGAAAAGCUUGGUUUUUGAGAGGAAAACCCGCAGCCCCCAAGCAUAUAAAUGCACGCAACGGAGGCUUCUUGAUUGAAACCAAGACCGACUCCAUGGAAUGGAGAACUUGGGGAGCUUCUCCCUUGUUCCUAGAGGUUUCCCAAUCAAGGCAGAUCAAAGCCACCGCAGAUGUGCUCCCAUGGGCUCCAUGAAGGCCGUGCCCAGGACGCCUAGCUCGGAAGCCCAAGAAAGGAAAGGUAAGCCCUUCACACUCCUGCUCGGGGCACAGCCCUAUCGCUCUUGCACCAGGUGAGUCAAAGGGAGAUUAGCGAUCAGCCCGGGGGCGGCUACCUGAACUUGAACCUGAGUGGCCAGGCGUUCUACAUGGAGCACGAGGUCUACAGGAGUUUCGGGAACCUGGGUGGGAAAGGGCCUGCCCAUCCCAUUCUGCCCGGGUGGGGCCUUCUCCACCAGCGCCCCCUCCCCACCCAGAAUUCUGCGUCUCACCAGGGUCUGCAUUCCCAGGGCCCUUUGCUUGCUCAAGCCUUUUACUUGAGCUAAAAGGAUGUGGGGGUUCCUGGGGCCGGCCUCUGUGCUCAUGCUGCCCCAGGGACCCCGAUUCCCCCUGGGAUCUUAUCUCCCCUCCAAGUAAGUGGAGUAUUCAGGGCAGGAUGAGGCCAGGUGCCCACCUCCCUCAGCAGGGGAUGAAGGGACCAGCCCUCCCUCCCUGCCCAGGACAGCCAGGGGGUGGGCGUGUCCCAGCUCGGCCAAUCAGACAAUCUCCUGGGACUUUGGCUCCUGAGCAGGGGAUUCCAGGCCGGCAGGAAUUGGGCAGAGCUGCCCAGUGUGAGCUCACAGCUGCAGCUCCUGCUGCCAACACCCCCAAUUGUGUGGGCACCUCCCCCUCCCGCCCCCAGCCUCCCAAUAAAUCUCUUCUGCUUCCCGUGACCGGUGACCGGAGGAGUUUUCUGUAACCGCGGAAGAAUUGCCUCUCAGGCCCUCACUUAGAGCUGUUGUGUCCCGGGAUGGGAGGCUCCCUGUGACACCACCUGUGGCCCUUGGCACCUGGUGUACCUUCCCUGCGAAGGUGCAGAGAGAAUACCAGAAGGACUGGGGCGGGUGAGGGGAGUGAGAGGUCUGGGGCCGCAGGGACCUGCCACCAUCAGGCUCAAGUGAGCUGUUGCCCUGACGCUGUGGGCUUCACGGAGGGAGCGGCUUACUCCUCAAAGUCUGCUGAGCAGACAGGGGCUCGGGUAUCGCCGAGUGGCUUCGCCUUGCCCUGGGCCACCUGGGACCUGCCCCACUCAGUUUACGAAGCUCCUCUCCUUCCCCCAGGGGUCUCGGCUCCCGUGCUGACGCUGGUGUUCCUGCUGGUUUCUGAGCGUGUAGUUGAGUUAGGCAGGUCCCACCUACACACACAGGUGCGUGCAGCUGCGGGAAUGGGGGGAGGCGGCUGGAAAGCGUCCAGCUCACGGCAGGAAGGCAGUGGGAUCGUCACUGUGAGGACAAGGGAGGUGGAGAGAAGGAAUUUCUUCCCCGUCAGCCAAAAAAGGUCUUAGAGAGCACCUCUGCUCCAAAUGGCUUUUUAAAAAAAUUUUUAAUGGUUAUUUAUUUUUAAGAGAGUGAGAGAGAGACGGAAUGUGAGCGGGGAGGGGGCGGAGAGAGAGGGAGACACAGAAUCCGAAGCAGGCUCCAGGCUCCAAGCCAUCGGCACAGGGCCCGACACGGGGUUCGAACCCACAAACCACAGGAUCACGACCUGAGCAGAUGUUGGACGCUUAACCCACUGAGCCACCCAGGUGCCCCUGCUCCAGAUGGCUAUUUAAAGCCUGUGAUGGACGAAGCCCCUUCACCCCCUUUGCAAAGUUAGGCUUCCCCGAAUGCUGCCCUCUCUCCACCAGCCGCCUCUCCCAGGAACUUGUGUCGUUGAUUUGGGGAUGCCCCUUCCUGCUUCUCUUCCUACCGUCUUUUUCCUACAGAUGCGCAUCUUUCUGUGUCCCUAGACCACUCCAAUCAGCUAAACGAAGGCCAACCACGGACGCUGGCAUCUAGGGCUCUGACUGUCCCGGCUCCCGGGCAGGCGGCAGAGGCACGGGACAGGUCAAGCCACCAGUCGGCAAGGCAGUUACUUUCAGGCGAGAGGUGAAGGUGAACUUGCCCUUGAUGAAGGCUCCAGGAAGCCUUGGGAACCCCGGCUUCUCGGCCAGAUCCACAGGGGAGGACUGUCACUGGGAGGGUGGGGAGAUGAUGGAGGGGCUGGACUGUCCCUUCAGCGUGUCGGUGAUCCGGGACCCCCGGUGGUCCCGACUCAGGUGCACAGGACCUCAUGGCAACCUUGUCAGGGCUGCUUAGAAGGGACCCAGAGCUUGGUGGUCCCCUUCCUUGGGACCCUCGGGUGUUGUGUCCCUCCUGGCUAAGCUUGCUCCACGGAUGGUCAAUAAAGGAGGCGACAGAGGCCAGCAAUGGCUCAUCUGGACGGGAGUCCUCGCAGGGGUGAGGAGGCUGUGCGGUGCAGUGGUUAAAGCUCGGUCAGAGACCAAACGGCUGCCAGAACCCUGGCCCACAACAUCCUGGCCGUGGGACCCGGGAUAAGCGAUUCAAAUGCCUGGACCUCAGAUUUGCCCGCCUGACUGUUCACGAGCAGCGGUUGGUAUUCACUCUGUUGUCAGCUGCUUGGGCGUCUGGGAACCCCCUCCAAGUGGGACCGGGGCUCCCUAACACCGAACGGCGUUCAGCAGCCCUGUGGGCCAAGCGACUC
Molecule: long non-coding RNA, 3930 nt
Filed under: Lynx pardinus (Iberian lynx)
Lineage: Eukaryota; Metazoa; Chordata; Mammalia; Carnivora; Felidae
Source: RNAcentral